UAAAUAUUUCCGUUCAUAACUCUCAACCAAUAUUCAGGUGGGCAUUAGCAAUUAGAAAGAGUCUCUUAAAAUGAUCUCCGUUACAUGGCCAAAACUCUAGCAACUUAGACCGAAGAAUUUAGAGCACUUACAGUUAUUAAUCAAAACGUUAACAAGAGUUUCUGAAAUAUAUUACUCUUGUUUAGAGUUCAAAUUUCUUUCUCUCUUUAUCUCUUUCGAAGUAUACUAUAUAGUUCAAAAUUUUCUUAUCUGCCGCCACCGUUUCCCGGCGUUGAUUUUGGGAUGGAAACAACACCAAGUCACCGUGAACGUCACGUGGCAUUUGAAAACUCAGGUCAGGGAAAGGAACCCAACAAUACAAUUAUACCGACUUGGAAACCAAAUCAGAGGGAAGUAGAGGAGGCCAAUUUGGUCUCGCCGUUUGUUGCUUUCAUGAGAAACAAGAACAGCCAAAUUUUCAAAACGUGGGGGCUCCGUUCAUCCAAGU
Molecule: small RNA, 487 nt
Filed under: Oryza sativa Japonica Group (Japanese rice)
Lineage: Eukaryota; Viridiplantae; Streptophyta; Magnoliopsida; Poales; Poaceae
Description: sRNA Os01g0305300
Source: RNAcentral